UACAGAGGUCUCAAGCGUUGUUCGGAUUCAUUGGGCGUAAAGGGUGCGUAGGUGGCGUCGUAAGUUAGAGGUGAAAGCCCGGGGCUCAACCCCGGAAUUGCCUUUAAGACUGCAUCGCUAGAAUUGUGGAGAGGUAAGUGGAAUUCCGAGUGUAGAGGUGAAAUUCGUAGAUAUUCGGAAGAACACCAGUGGCGAAGGCGACUUACUGGACACAUAUUGACGCUGAGGUGCGAAAGCGUGGGGAGCAAACAGG
This 253-nucleotide ribosomal RNA is filed under the name uncultured bacterium. RNAcentral's name for it is "partial 16S ribosomal RNA". It matches the Rfam family "Bacterial small subunit ribosomal RNA", at positions 524 to 776 of the family's 1533-position model. The record is from RNAcentral.